UCGUAUAAUACCUCACGAGAGAUGCC
RNAcentral lists this non-coding RNA (26 nucleotides) under Rattus norvegicus (Norway rat). The record is from RNAcentral. Lineage: Eukaryota; Metazoa; Chordata; Mammalia; Rodentia; Muridae.